This 339-nucleotide unclassified non-coding RNA is filed under the name soil metagenome. Its description in RNAcentral is "partial contains 5.8S ribosomal RNA, internal transcribed spacer 2, and large subunit ribosomal RNA". The stretch from base 6 to 121 matches the Rfam family "5.8S ribosomal RNA", at positions 39 to 154 of the family's 154-position model. The record is from RNAcentral.
GAUGAAAGAACGCAGCGAAAUGCGAUAAGUAAUGUGAAUUGCAGAAUUCAGUGAAUCAUCGAAUCUUUGAACGCACAUUGCGCCCUCUGGUAUUCCGGAGGGCAUGCCUGUUCGAGCGUCAUUAUCAACCAUCAAGCUCUGCUUGGCAUUGAGCGUCACCCCCCCUCCCGGGUGGGCGCGCUUCAAACCGGUCGGCGGUGGCUCAGGCCUCUUAAGCGUUAGUAAUACUUCCCGCUUCUGGAGACUGUGGUCGCCCGCCUCCAAAACCCAACACCUCAAGGUUGACCUCGGAUCAGGUAGGGAUACCCGCUGAACUUAAGCAUAUCAAUAAGCGGAGGA